GGUUCAGGAUGAACGCUAGCUACAGGCUUAACACAUGCAAGUCGAGCGGAACACUUCGGGUGUUAGCGGCAGACGGGUGAGUAACACGUAUCCAACCUUCCCUUACUCGGGUAUAGCCUCGGGAAACUGAGAGUAAUCCCCGAUGUGGUGCACUGAAAGCAUUUUUUGCGCACGAAAGAUUAAUCGGUAAGGGGUGGGGAUGCGUUCCAUUAGGUAGUAGGCGGGGUAACGGCCCACCUAGCCGAUGAUGGAUAGGGGUUCUGAGAGGAAGGUCCCCCACAUUGGAACUGCGACACGGUCCAAACUCCUACGGGAGGCAGCAGUGAGGAAUAUUGGUCAAUGGGCGAGAGCCUGAACCAGCCAAGUAGCGUGCAGGAAUGACGGCCCUAUGGGUUGUAAACUGCUUUUGUGCGGGAAUAACGGUCGCCACGUGUGGUGAUGUGCAUGUACCGUACGAAUAAGGAUCGGCUAACUCCGUGCCAGCCGCCGC
This 490-nucleotide ribosomal RNA is filed under the name uncultured bacterium. Its description in RNAcentral is "bacterial SSU rRNA". It matches the Rfam family "Bacterial small subunit ribosomal RNA", at positions 21 to 518 of the family's 1533-position model. The record is from RNAcentral.